CGCUGGCGGCAGGCUUACACAUGCAAGUCGAGCGCUCGUAGCAAUACGGGAGCGGCAGACGGGAGAGUAACACGUGGGAACGUACCCUUCGGUUCGGAAUAACCCAGGGAAACUUGGGCUAAUACCGGAUACGUCCGUAAGGAGAAAGAUUUAUCGCCGAGGGAUCGGCCCGCGUCCGAUUAGCUAGUUGGUGGGGUAAUGGCCUACCAAGGCGACGAUCGGUAGCUGGUCUGAGAGGAUGAUCAGCCUCACUGGGACUGAGACACGGCCCAGACUCCUACGGGAGGCAGCAGUGGGGAAUAUUGGACAAUGGGCGCAAGCCUGAUCCAGCCAUGCCGCGUGGGUGAUGAAGGCCUUAGGGUUGUAAAGCCCUUUCGGCGGGGAAGAUAAUGACGGUACCCGCAGAAGAAGCCCCGGCUAACUUCGUGCCAGCAGCCGCGGUAAUACGAAGGGGGCUAGCGUUGCUCGGAAUCACUGGGCGUAAAGCGCACGUAGGCGGGUCUUUAAGUCAGGGGUGAAAUCCUGGAGCUCAACUCCAGAACUGCCUUUGAUACUGGAGAC
This 561-nucleotide ribosomal RNA is filed under the name uncultured bacterium. Its description in RNAcentral is "bacterial SSU rRNA". It matches the Rfam family "Bacterial small subunit ribosomal RNA", at positions 34 to 640 of the family's 1533-position model. The record is from RNAcentral.